GCAAAACAAAUCUGCAGUGAAAGAUGCAAAAAAAAAAAACGCAGAAGGCUCUUGUGAAGCAUUGUUAAUACGAUACGCGUUGUAUGAAUUAGUAAAAUAAGAAAUUGUAUUACACAGUAAAUCUUUCUAUAACGAGGUUUCCAUAUAGCAUGGUAGACUUAUGAUUUUAUGUUUCUAUAUAGCAACUUGAUUAACUUAAGCUGUUUUACCUUAUAGCAUGAACUUUUCUAUUAUAUUUUUAUAAUUGAAAUUAGUUGGGAAUUACUAUUAGUAAGGAAAUGAUAAACAUAAGAUGAAACAACAGACACGUGACAGAUAAAGAAGGAUAAAAAAGAAAAAAGGAAUAAUGACAGGUUCAGAAUGGGAGAAAACAUAACUAAUUUGCUUAAUUUGUUUAUUUAGUAUAUAUACGUCAAUUUUUUGGUGUAAUAAUUGGAGUAAGGUAAUUACCUAAUUAGUUAUAUUCCGUCCAUUCCAAACCUUUUAUUACUCCACUUUUGUUUUCUGUUACUUUAUUUUUCUAUUAUAUUUGUUGUUCUACCUUAUAGGACGGAAAAAGUAUUAAAAAUAGAGGGACCUAAACAUCGUUUCUAUGUUAAUUACAGUAAUGAUUAUGAACUGGUCUCUAUAAUUAAUUAAGUUACAAUAUUCUUUUCUCAAAUGAUUGAAGCGAUCUUUAAGACAAAUCGAUCAUUUUGUUGGAUUUAUUAACUAUUUAAAAUAAAAGUUGAACUGUUUGUUCGACUACACUUUGAUGAUAAAUCCUUAUAAUUUAUUAUUAUAAAUUAUUAUUCGUUGGUAAUUUAUUACUACAGAUUCUUAUUAGUUAGUAAUUUAUUAUUAGAGAUUAUUAUUAGUUGAUAAUUUAUUAUUAAAAGAAAACUGUGCCCACUUCUAUAUUUUGCUUGUUAAUAGUUUUAACAAGUUGAUAUUAGACUCUACGUGUAAUGUAAACACAAUAUACAUAUAAAUAUUUAACAUUAACUGUGUUGUUAACAUUAUAAGUGUGCUGCUCAAUUCGUUUCGAAGUUACAUACCGUAUUCACAUCACGUUGGUCGAAAUAGGCGUAGAAUGGAAUCGAACUAAUUAAAAAUGACUUUGUUUCAUUCAAUAGGCAAUAAAAUAGUAAAAGAAAAUUGACAAGGUGAUGAUAUAUUAAAUUUAAAUCAUAGUUUUUGUUCCAAAAUUUGUACCUUUAAUAACAUGAAAAAAAAUAGUGAUUUCCAAGAUGUUAAAAAUAAUCUACUUCACGCUACAGCUACAAGUGUUUUUCAUAUGUGUAUAGAAUUUCGAUUCAAGUCCACAUAUGAUUUUUUAGGUAUCAUGUGAACAUAUUUGAAAAACAGCAUUUCGAGAAAAACGCGUUCAAAGUUUCAUGUUUAAUCAUCUUAACGAGCAAUUCAUUCAAAUUUCUUCCUAAAAUCACUCAGUUAUUAAUAAUGCUAUAACUUUAGGGGAACAAUUAUUGUAAUAGAGAAUUAAUUUGAUUGAUAAAUUAGUUUGCUUCUCCUUUCUCUAAUUACAAACACAUAGUUGUAUAAUAUAGCGUCGACCUCGGUAGUUUUAGUGAUAAAUAAAUAUAACUUUGGCUUUUUAAAAUAUUAUUUAAUAUAAUCUGCAAUGAAAAUAUUAACAAAAAAUUCUAUUUUUUUUAUCUAAAAUAAAAGUGUACACCUUUAAUAGGUCUGCGCUGGGUCGACAGGAGGAUUUCGUGAAGUUUUAUUGGAUUGAUCAACAGACUGUGUAUGUUUAUGCAUUUAGGACAAUUCGAAAUAUUGGAAUAUAUAUGACAACGUGUGCAAAUGCAAAAAUAUAUAAAAAGUGAACAAUAAUGUACAUGGUAUGCCGUACAGAUGAUUAGACAUAUGUACUUUCAUUUUAGUUUCACUUAUUUUUCUGAAUUUUUGAAAAUACGAAAUUGCAUAUAAAUUCACAGUCGAAUUGUUAUAAAUAAAAGUACCUUCGCAACUUAACGCGCUACAAACAGUUAAGAAAUUUUUUAAAAAUUUGUUUGAACUUAUUGUAAGAGAAAUAACAUUACUUUCCAAUCUAUCUAAUAUAUAAAAUAUCAACAAUAAUAUGUUAUAUCAUUUAGAAGAUAAGACAGACUUUCACUUAAGUUUCAAUUCCCUUUCUGUAUCCGUGAAAAUAUGAAUUUGCAUUAAAUUCAAUUUCCGUGGAACGUCCAUUUACUCCAUUUACAACUACUCCAGAAUGAUUUUAUUCCUCGCCGUGCGAAUAAGAGAUGCGUAGACGCAUUUUGGUAGAAUCUGGUGGGGGAAUGUGGCGGCGCGCGAUAUGAUAGCGUUUUGAGAUGGUUCAGUUCCGCGCCGUCUUUCACGUGCGCGACACAUUUCGGGAAACGAGAAAUGUUAUCGGCGCCGGGAUUCGUCGACGAAACGUCCACAAUGCGAUUCCGCGUGUAUACUAUCCUAUUCCUUAUUAAUGUUUUAAUCUCACGACUCUACGAACACGAUAAACAACAUUUUACCCCGUUUUUAUGUGAAAUUUGUUCGCUCUUUUUUGUUCUCAAUGGUUUCUCGUUUUACUCCAAUUUAGCAACCCCUCGAACGUCCAACGUUAACGUGACAAAUUUAGAUAAACAUCGCAUUAUAUUAUCGCAAGUAUCUCUUUCGAGCUUCGUUCAAUGUUAACGUUCGACGUUCAAGGGUCGGUGGACGAUAGAUAUUGUAAAUUUCGUUAAGUGUUAAAGAAUUCGAAGAGUGACAGUGUGUAUAGUGUGUCCCGUGGAUAUAAUCAUGGAUAAGCCAGCCUUUCGGAUCGUCCGUCUCAGAAGUGCUGGAGUCUCGGAGGCCCGUGGCGCGACGAAUCGCGGGGAUCAUUGAAAUCCGGUGCCAAGCUCCAUUCGCAUUCCGGGAUUAGAACAGAACGUGUAAUGGCUGACUACUUCGUUGAUUUCGAUCAAGAUGACCGAGGAUUAGCACGAGUAAUUGUAACGAGAAUUGG
Long non-coding RNA from Hylaeus volcanicus, 2968 nucleotides. RefSeq lists it as uncharacterized. NCBI's taxonomy places the organism in Eukaryota, Metazoa, Arthropoda, Insecta, Hymenoptera, Colletidae. The transcript has 5 exons. The record is from RefSeq and is a predicted model, not a curated record.